ACGGGGGGAGCAAGCGUUGUUCGGAUUUACUGGGCGUAAAGGGCGCGUAGGCGGCCACUGCAAGUCAGUUGUGAAAUCUCCGGGCUUAACCCGGAAAGGUCAACUGAUACUGCAGGGCUAGAGUGCAGAAGGGGCAACUGGAAUUCUCGGUGUAGCGGUGAAAUUCGUAGAUAUCGAGAGGAACACCGGUGGCGAAGGCGGCCUUCUGGACAGUGACUGACGCUGAGACGCGAAAGCGUGGGGAGCAAACAGGA
This 254-nucleotide ribosomal RNA is filed under the name uncultured prokaryote. RNAcentral describes it as "partial 16S ribosomal RNA". It matches the Rfam family "Bacterial small subunit ribosomal RNA", at positions 525 to 777 of the family's 1533-position model. The record is from RNAcentral.